Musa acuminata AAA Group (dessert banana) is the source of this 2139-nucleotide long non-coding RNA. RefSeq lists it as uncharacterized. Lineage: Eukaryota; Viridiplantae; Streptophyta; Magnoliopsida; Zingiberales; Musaceae. The transcript is spliced from 2 exons. The record is from RefSeq and is a predicted model, not a curated record.
CAACUGAGGAGGCGAUUCAGACAUGUUGUUUAGGUAAAUGUCGGCUGAAACAAGGGUUCGAUUUAGGGAAUAGUGCAGGAGCACGGCUCAUGGAGAAUGAAGCUCGAGGACUAUGGAUUGUUGCCACAGAUUGUCGAAUUCUCUGAACCUGGAUGGGAAGAGGCAGAUGAGUUUGACAAGGCAGAAAAGAACACAGCAGAAGAAAUCAUCAUAGAGAGGGAGAGAGAGAGAGAGAGAGAGAAGAAUUUCCACUUAGUUGUAUGCCACUUAGUCCAAUGGAUCUGUUGCAUGGCACUAAAAUCCAAUGGAGUUUGGUGCAGUCACACAUCCCAUGCCAUUGGCGCAGUAUGAAAGCAGUUGAUGAAGGUUGGAGGAUACCACACUUCAUUCAGUAGCUGAUGGCUUUGUGCCAGUCUCUCUCUCUCUCUCUCUCUCUCUCUCUCUCUCUCUCUCUCAGUCUCUCUCUAUCCAUGUAGACAAGCCAAAGACGGGAAUCCAUGUUUCACAUGGGCACACAAAGCUGUGUGAUCGAGAGAAGCUUGAAGAAGGAAGAGACAUGAAUGAAUACACUUGUGUUCUUCCUUUUCCUGAUGUUCUGAGACUGAGAGAAACAUAGCGGUCUUUCUUCUCAUGCUCAAGUGAUCUUGUGUAUCCCUGAGAUUAUAGCUCAUUAAUCCUCUCUCUCUCUAUAUAUUCAACAGCUUCAUGUGGAAAUGUUGGCAUUCUGUACCACCAUCUGAAAAGAAGAAGUUGAGGAGUUUGUCUGAACUUAAAAUAGCUUUCGAUCAGAUUAGAUUCCAAUAGCUUACCAAAACUCUAUCUCCCUCUCUGUCCCAUACUUGUCCAUCAUGGAUUCGAGACCAAUUAUUUUAGCAGAGUAUUCGAACAGGUCAGAGGGAGAUGUCCGAGCGCGGAGACGCCACAAUCAAGCUCUUCGGCAAGAGCAUCACUCUGCAGUUCGGCGGAGACGAGGAGAAUGCACUGCGAUCGAAGGAUUUUCGAGAGGAAGAGACUGCUCCUGAAUCACCCGACUCACAGGAAACUAACGAGCAUGAAGCGACGAGGAACUCGAUGCCCGAUGAACGACGAAGUGAAGCAGGGAGUUGGAAGGAGAAGGCGGCGAAGAAGCCCAAGAAGAUCGUUCCUUGUCCUCGGUGCGGAAGCCCCGACACCAAAUUCUGCUAUUACAACAACUACAACGUCGACCAGCCGCGGCAUUCCUGCAGGAACUGCCAAAGGUACUGGACCGCCCAACGACGCCAUGCGGAACGUUGAUGUUGGAGCCGGCCGACGCAGGAACAGGAGUAGCUCUCACGAUCGGCACGUCGCGCUUCGCUUUGGCCCUGACUGAUGGGGAUAAAAAGAGGAAUAACCUUUGUAUAGGAACAAAUACUAGAAGACCAAAAUAUGCAGCGGAAUAAAAUGGAAACACAAUCAAACAGAACACCAAGAUAUACGUGGAAAACCCCUUCAAUGUGAAGGGUAAAAAUCACGGGGCAAACUAGAGAUAAUCCACUAUGAGAAUAAUGAAUAUACAAAUCUCAAUCUCUUGCCCAAAACCCUAGCAACAACCACAAGAGAAUAACUGGGAUACAAGGAUCACGUCACUGCCCACAAUAUCUAAAACCUCCCCAAGUAAUCACAGCAAGAGUCUACUGUAGAUUUGAUCUAACCUGAGAUGAGAACACUGCUAGAUGAUUGUGAACAGUCUCUCUGCGUUGUCCUUGUCUUCUUCCCUUUCUUUCUCUUCCUUUUCUGCCUUGAUCUCCUUCUUCUCUUUGGAAUCCCGUGGCCUCAAAGAUCUGCCUCGUUGCUGCCUUUUUAUAGCCUUAAUCUGCCUCUAAAACGCAGCCACCACACCUCCCUAAUCUUAAUUAGGGUUAGGUUAAGAGAGGGUGUGGGCUGUGGGCUGAUAAAGCCCACAUGGGCUGAAUAUGGGCCAUCAGCCCAACAACCUCCCCCUUCAGCCCAUAAGGGAGGUUGUCCCAUGACUCCUCAAUGUGAAGCCAUGCCGACCAACUGUCGGCAUAUCAACUGUCUUUCUUUUGGUAAGGUCUUCGUCAACAUGUCUGCUCCGUUGUCAUCUGUAUGAAUUUUCUGAAGCUGCAACUGCUUCUCUUCAAAUACAUUUCGAAUCCA